CUGGCUGUCGGCAGUGGUGCUAGAAAGAGUCAGGGAUGGGAGGAACGCCAUGGAGGUAAAGACUGAGGAGUGGACAGGGAGAGCAGAGCUUGAGGAGGGCAGGAAGGGACGCUGGAAAAGACAUGGCUGCUGAGGGUAGGGACAGAGUCCAGUUUGUGUUGCAGCAAGUCAUCAGGUAGGGUUUCAGUUUCAGCUGUUGAUGGACACAUUAGCUCUGUGGGAAUUUAACUGAAGAUGUGAUGCUGCUAGGCUGAGACAGUGAGAACCUGUGAGGAGUAAGGGGAACAUCACUUGGAGACUGUACACUUGGCUUCCAUAUCUUUCUCCUGCUGUACUCCACGGGAGGAAUAGAGUGUGUAAAUGACAUCCUGGAUGGACUAACCGAUGGAUAUAUCUCCUGCUUUCUGCCAUGGAUAGAUGGAUGCCUGGUGACAGGAGGGAAGACUGCUGAAUGCCCUCAGGGACUUGAAGAGCCUGGAAGAGACAAUGGAUCGCAUGGAACUAAAAAUUUGAUAUGGAAAUCUCUGCUUCACAAACUUCUUCAGGGAAACUCUGUGGAAAGACGAAAUCACCCCCAGCAGAACAGCGUGUUUGGACACAGUUGGGAAUAAUCAGUCCUGCAGGCUUUCAUUGAUCUGGAGCAGAAGCAGAACCUGUCAUGGAGCUCCAUCUGAUGUGUCACCAUCCAGCUACAGAGACACUGAAUGGAUAAACUCAGAAACUCUGCACAAAAAUACCAUCUUACUAUCCAACUUCUGUCUGCUACUUCUCUUUAAAUCAUGUGUCCCAUGUCCCACAGACAGACAGCAGCCUGCCUCCUCUCCUUCAUAUGUAACUUAUGAGCACAUCAGCUUGUUGAACAAGCAACCAAACACCAAACAAACACUAGAUGGCCAAUAAGCUGCAUCACAUUGAACAGCAUGUAAACACACCUGUACUUCUUCUGUUUUAGAUGCUGUUAACCACACACUGUCUGCCCAUGUUUGUUUACAUUGACUGCAAAGAGGGAUGACUAAAUAUGUUUUUAAAUAGACUUUGAUCAACCCAGUACAGACUGCAGUUCCUUCUCUCUCCACAACACAGAAGAAACAUGCAACUUUUUUAAAAACGCGAUACUGAAUCAGUACUAUUAAAAUCAGAGCACCUCUCA
Long non-coding RNA from Epinephelus fuscoguttatus (brown-marbled grouper), 1150 nucleotides. RefSeq lists it as uncharacterized. The record is from RefSeq and is a predicted model, not a curated record. NCBI's taxonomy places the organism in Eukaryota, Metazoa, Chordata, Actinopteri, Perciformes, Serranidae. The transcript is spliced from 3 exons.